Long non-coding RNA from Daucus carota subsp. sativus, 1080 nucleotides. RefSeq lists it as uncharacterized. The transcript is spliced from 4 exons. The record is from RefSeq and is a predicted model, not a curated record. NCBI's taxonomy places the organism in Eukaryota, Viridiplantae, Streptophyta, Magnoliopsida, Apiales, Apiaceae.
GGCCACGUGUUUAUUACCAAGAGCAGACAUCCGGCCGAAGAUAGAUGGAAUUCCAAUUAAGUAACCCUCGUUGGAGUCGCACCCCAUCACAUACCGUUUACUCCUCCUCUCUCCCUCUCUGUGUCCAGUAACUUACAGAAAUGGACGAAUGCUUGGGAUGUUAAAGAUUUUGUAAUGAUUUCAAGGCUCGCCCUGAUCGAUUCUUAAUUAGAGAUCUCACUCAUAGAUGGUUGCAGAUGUUUUUCAAUUAUAUAUGCUGUGUGAGUGUGAUCCAGGUUGUUUCUAAGAUCUAAUGCUGUUUGAUUUCUUCAGUCUUAUAUCGACAUGAUUACCAAAACGCUGGAAAGUAGACUAAUUCUCCGGAUAUUUUUUUUCAAUACAUUGCUAAUUAGUAAUUACCUUUGUUUUAUUUAUCUGUAACAUCAUCUACUAUGAAUAAUUCUUUUCAGCCCAAGAUUUUGCUUUUCUACCCGUGUUCCAGUUUCCUAUCUCAAUGUCUACAAGUAAUUCCCUGCACUCUAUAUUUUUUUUUCAAGGAAACGGCAAUUUGCGCUGGUAUGGUCUUCCUGAUGGCCAGUGGGAGGUCAGCGAUACACCUAGUGAAGCAUCUCCUCGAAAUUUACCAAAAUCUCCGUUUAUUAACUUUGUUAGAGAUGUGAUGCCUGAGAAGAACUGAUUAACUUUUGUUGCUCGAAGAAGUGAAGCGUGGUUGGAUGCUGCCGCUCACUAUUUUUCCGGCAGAUCUGGAUUAGCUACCGGUGACAGGAGGCUGGAUAUUCAAAGACCAAGGAGGAAUGCUCGUGCAAGAGAGCUCGCCAUUGAUUGUGAAGAAGGGAAUCUAGAUGUGCUCUACAAUGCUACAUUUCUUAAAUGGGUUUAUGUACUAUCUCAGAACUUUUGUGCCAAAACACAAAGUCAUUUUCCAGUAUAAUAUCAUGCUUCUAGACUCCAAUGUAACAAGUGUCUUCAUGAAGACACUAUAUAUAUCUUCCUUUGAUGCAGUGGGAAAUGACCAUAAUGUUAUAUUAUUUUGUUACAAAUGGGAAUGAUUAGAACAUGGGUUUGUGCUUGACGAUAUAA